This 428-nucleotide ribosomal RNA is filed under the name Bacteroidota bacterium. Its description in RNAcentral is "Bacteroidetes bacterium partial 16S ribosomal RNA". It matches the Rfam family "Bacterial small subunit ribosomal RNA", at positions 355 to 776 of the family's 1533-position model. The record is from RNAcentral. Lineage: Bacteria; Pseudomonadati; Bacteroidota.
UAGGGAAUCUUCCGCAAUGGACGCAAGUCUGACGGAGCAACGCCGCGUGAGUGAAGAAGGAUUUCGGUUCGUAAAACUCUGUUGUUAGAGAAGAACAGCGCAUAGAGUAACUGUUAUGCGUGUGACGGUAUCUAACCAGAAAGCCACGGCUAACUACGUGCCAGCAGCCGCGGUAAUACGUAGGUCCCGAGCGUUGUCCGGAUUUAUUGGGCGUAAAGCGAGCGCAGGCGGUUAGAAAAGUCUGAAGUGAAAGGCAGUGGCUCAACCAUUGUAGGCUAUGGAAACUGUUUAACUUGAGUGCAGAAGGGGAGAGUGGAAUUCCAUGUGUAGCGGUGAAAUGCGUAGAUAUAUGGAGGAACACCGGUGGCGAAAGCGGCUCUCUGGUCUGUAACUGACGCUGAGGCUCGAAAGCGUGGGGAGCGAACAGG